This 433-nucleotide ribosomal RNA is filed under the name uncultured bacterium. RNAcentral describes it as "partial 16S ribosomal RNA". It matches the Rfam family "Bacterial small subunit ribosomal RNA", at positions 29 to 507 of the family's 1533-position model. The record is from RNAcentral.
AACGAACGCUGGCGGCAUGCCUAACACAUGCCAGUCGAACGAGACCUUCGGGUCUAGUGGCGCACGGGUGCGUAACGCGUGGGAACCUGCCCUUAGGUUCGGAAUAACUCCCCGAAAGGGGUGCUAAUACCGGAUAAUGUCUUCGGACCAAAGAUUUAUCGCCUUUGGAUGGGCCCGCGUUGGAUUAGCUAGUUGGUAGGGUAAAAGCCUACCAAGGCGACGAUCCAUAGCUGGUCUGAGAGGAUGAUCAGCCACACUGGGACUGAGACACGGCCCAGACUCCUACGGGAGGCAGCAGUGGGGAAUAUUGGACAAUGGGCGAAAGCCUGAUCCAGCAAUGCCUCGUGAGUGAUGAAGGCCUUAGGGUUGUAAAGCUCUUUUACCCGGGAUGAUAAUGACAGUACCGGGAGAAUAAGCUCCGGCUAACUCCGUG